This is a non-coding RNA of Chlorocebus sabaeus (green monkey), 5625 nucleotides long. The record is from RefSeq and is a predicted model, not a curated record. NCBI's taxonomy places the organism in Eukaryota, Metazoa, Chordata, Mammalia, Primates, Cercopithecidae.
UCCUGGAGCAGGCUCGGCAAUUUGCAUCUUUGCUGUUCUCCUUUUAAAAAUGACAGAAAAACACUCCGCAGAGUGGAGCUUGCCCAAGCGGAGCUUCUGCCGACAAAAACAGGGGCACAGAAGUCAGCUUGACAUUCUGCCAAGUGCGGCCCCUCCUGUCUCCUCCUCUACACCAAGAAGUAGACUUUAAUCAAUAAGUUUCUGAGAGGGGGCAGUGAGGAAGGGAUUGAAGGAGAAAAAGCACAGAUCUUCUCACCGUGCACAAUUUAGAAAACAUGUCUAUGCACAAAUUCUUGUGCAGGAGUCAUGGAGAUCAAUGACUGAGAGGAACUUCUUUUAAAAGCCAAGAACAAGAAUACCACCCGAAGACAUCUGUUCCUCUCAUCCUUUAGUGAAGUGCAGAUGGAGAUUCCUACGUGGUUUUGGUAAGAGGAAUUGGUCAUGCUUAUUAGCCUGGGCAGAUUUAGGUUUCAAAUAAUAAGCUAAAUUGAGAACUACCAAGAGACCAACAUUUGCAAAGCUGCACUGUAGCCUGAAGAGGGACAUGCCAAUUUUAGAUUAAUUAAAAAGGUUAUUAAAUUGUUCAGAUGGCACGUUAAUGAGCAAUCUGCAGGGUGCUCAGUCAACAACCACGCCUCCCAACCUUAAUUACAGGACCCUUAUUGAAAAGGAUCUGGGCAAGCCCACAAAGGAGCUAGAAGAACAUCCAUCUUGAAUAUAAUAUGAAUAUGGUCAACCCAGGACAAAUCCCAUGAAGAAAGAUGGUAUAUUAAGCUUAUAAUAUAAAUUCUUUCAGAAGGAAGGUAAUGCUGAUUCUAUUAAGCUUAUAAUAUAAAUUCUUUCAGGAGAAAGGUAAUGCUGAUUCUAGCCAGCUACAAGGCACCGAGAUAUUAGAAUUAGAGAUACAACAGAUAAUGUGCCUUUAUAUUUUGGACCCAAUAGGUUCAAGUGCCUUGGAAUAUUUUACCAACCCAUAUUUUUCCCAAGGCCUGCUGAUAAAAUUAGAAGGCUUAAGUUAUUGUUUCUGUUACAUAAGGUUUACAUAAAUUUAUAAAUCAAGACAUUUUAAUAUCUACCACCGACUUCAGCAUUCAAAUGUCGGAAAAAAGAUACUGCCUCUGCCCGGAUGAGUAAUUUUCAAAGUGUGGGCUACAUGGGGCCAUGUAAUGAACCUCGGACUGAUCUAUAAUUGCAACUCCCUGCUUUGGUUCUUUUGGGUGAAUUAUCCAUAAAUCCGUAGGCUUAAGUUUAUAUAAACAGCCAAGGUUUACUUUCUAGUAAAUUCCUAAACCAAUUGUUAAUGGUUACUAAAAUUUGGCAUUCAUGAACUAAAACUAAGCAGCUCCUAGAACUUAUUGAGAAAUAUAAUUCAAUAUUCUUCUAUGAAGUCUACCUCAGUGCUUGGCAGGGAUGAAAAACUUCUAUUGCAUAUGAGCACUUGCAGAUCACUGGAAAUCCCACAAAAUUCUGGAUGGGUGAUUUAUUUUCAUCAUAUCAGAAAUUUUCUUGAGUUGGUCAUGAUUUGAAUAGUUACUAUUAUUCCUUUUGAAUUUAAAAUUACUAUUAGUUUAUUUUUACCUUUAUCAAGGUAGUUUGUUGUGAGUUGUUUGGUUCUUCUUAUACACUGACACGUCUUUAUCAUGAUGCUGUGCUGUGGGCUUUUUUGACCUUUGAUACUUCAAUAAAUUCCCCCAAACUAGUGUUGCAAGGUCUAGAAAAUAAUCAGUUAAAUAGGAAGUUAUCUAGACAACAAAUAAUUUUUAAUUUUAAUGUAUGUUUCAAAUAUUACAUGAAUAAUACUAAAAAAUUAUUUGUUCAUUUGAAUUAAUAUUUAAUUGGGUGUCCUGAAUUCUACCUGGCAACUAUAUUUCAAGCAAUGUUGUAUUUUAUUGAGAAAAGUGAAAAAAAAAUGGUGAUACAGAGUUUGUCUUAAUUGCCAAAUCAGAUAGGUAUUGGCUGUCAGAAACACUCUGAGACUGUCAAGUCUGGUUCAGUCAGGGAAAAAAAAAUGACCAUGAUUGAUUAGUGAUGUCUGCCACGGACAAGACCCAAAGACUUACUGACUCAGGUGUUGAAUUUUUGCUAUCUCUGCCUUAGUGGCUAAAGUAGAACUAUCUUGCAAAAUCCUACUAGAAGCUAUCUAUUGAUUGUGUCACUCUUUUGCUCAAAACCUUAAAAUCCUUUAAUACCUUCCAUUGCUCUUAGGAUAAAGACCAAAGAGGGUUCUUAAUGUGGUUUUCAGAGUGCUAGCUCCUGCCAACUGUUUUAGCAUAGUCUUUUGCCAUGUUCCCUGUCACUUUCUGUGUUCCAGCCUCCCUGGCCUUGGUAAGUGUCUUCCAUUGCCUGGAAAUCUCUUCGUCUUCUUAUUUAUUCAAGUAUCUUCUGCUCAUUCUUUAAAUCCCAGCUCCUCAGGUAAGCUUUCUAACACACAGAAAAAGUCAAGAAUCAUUGAACAUAGACUCAUUGCAACUAUCUUAGUUUGUGAUAAUUUUUUCAUGUCAAUAUUUGAUUAAUGUAUUUUUCCAUGACUAAAUCAUAAAAUUCUUAAGGGAGCAGCCAUCUUGGUUUUAUUCACCAUUUUAUCCCCAGAAUCUAGCACAAUGUUUUCUGUAUACUAUGUUUCAAUUAUAUAUCUGUUGAAUGAAUUAAUUCAUUUAAAUAAUCCCAAAAUGAAUGCAUGUUUUGGCCUAAUGAGUUCAAUAUUAUGAAAAAAUCUUAGUGGUCCAUUUAAAAGGAAAUUAACACUUUUUUUUUCAGGCUAUAAUUACAAACUUAUUUAGAGCUCUCCAAAUGUAAUAAAUAAAAUGAGCAUUAUCUCUCUCAAUACUAAUCAGAGUAACCCUUUUAUUUAUACACUUGUCAUCAGUACCUUUAAGUGUUUCCUUCAGAAAAAUGCUUUGGUGGAGAGUUUAAUACAGUAGGGAGGAAGUUUUUAGGUAUGCAUAAUAUUUCCUUUUUUGUCAUUAAAUAUUAAAUAUUUUGUUGGAAUGCAUUCUGAGUAUCAUCCUUGGUAAAAAUUUCAUUCAACUCACCCAUCUGCAAUGACUUCGAUGUGUUAACUUGGCUAGGCUAUAGCCCUCAGUUACUCAAUCAAAUGAUAAUCCAGGUGUUUCUGUGAUGACAUUUUGCAGAUGUAAUUCAGUCCACAACCAGUUGAAUUUGCUAAGUCUAAAAAAAAUUCAGGAUUUAUAUUUGAAUAUUAUGGGUAGGACUGAUUCAAUCAGUGGGAAGACUUAAAAAGCAGGGCUGAAGCUUGUCCCAAAAAGAGAAGACAGCCUGUCUGUGGAUAAAAGCUUUGGCCCAUACCUGUGAGUUUCAGCUUCACAGAUUUCAGAUUGCUUAGCCAGCCCCCACAUUCAUGUAAGCCAAUUCCUUAAAAUAAAUCUCUUAAUAUAUAUAUGAGGAGAUUUAUUAAAUACAUAUAAGGUGUAUAUAUAUAUGUGUGUGUGUGUAUACACACACACACACACACACACACACACACACACUGGUUCUGCUACUCUGGUUGAGCCCUGAUGACCCACACCAUCCAGUGGUACUCAUAAAUGGUUUGUCAAGAAUAUGAAAAAAAAAUACUUCAUUCGAUAAUAUGGAGCUCACAGCAAUGCUGAUUGCAGAGCUUUUGUAAUCCAGGCUCCCCUUGCCUCACCCCCCUCCAAACCACCUACAAGUGCAAGAAAAUCCAAGGUAUGACUUUUAAAGUAGACCAACACAAACUUAUUUUAAAAAUAUUAUAGGAAUAACAAUAUGGGAAAAAAUAUAGCUGCUGGUUCUAGAACUCAUUUCCAGAAAACCCUUAUCUUUGUUGGGAAGAGACUUUGAUGAGCAGCCUUAGAGUAUAUAUGAGUUCUGAAUGUUGAUAGAACUUUUCUUUAUGAGGGAAAGGGAAAUACUCAGUGGUACUGGAGAUGUAACAGAGGGCAACAAGUGGCAGAGGGUGGUAACAAGAAGGCAGAUAUUCACAUUUUGCUAUGAUCUGAAUGUUCAUGUGACCCAAAAUUUGUAUUUGGAAAUCCUAACGCCCAAGGUGAUGGGAUUAGGAGAUGGGGCUUCUGUAGGUGAUUAGAUCAUGGAGGUGGAACCCUCAUGAAUGAGAUUAGUACCCUUAUCAAAGAAGUUCCAGAGAGCCACCACCUGAGGACGCAGCAAGGAGGCUCCAUCUGUGAACCAGGAAAGGGGCCUCUAGCAGAUGUUAAAUUUAUUGGUGUCUUGUUCUUGGACUUCCCAGUCUCCAUAACUGUGAGAAAUACAUUUUUGUUGUUUAUAAGCCACCCAGAUUAUGGCAUUUUGUUAUAGUUUUCUGAACAGAUUAAGACACAUCCCCUAUGACUGAACCUUUUAUUUAUUCCCUAUCCCAUUCCCUGACUCUCUGAUAAAGUUACUAAACUCAAUUAUAAGUAGACUUUUUGAGAAGCCAAGGAAGAAAUUGGGCUGCAUGCAGUUUGGAAUGGCAGCAUGAGUGGCUGUGGGAGUGGGUAGGGGGAAGAAGAAAGAGUUCUUCUUUCUUUCUUGCAGAAAGAACUAAGCCCACCCCUUUGAUUCCCCUCUCCUCCCCUUCUUCCACCAUCACCCCCAGCAAGAUGGGGAAGGAUAUAAAUGCACACUGAGCUGUGGAACUGCAGUCCUUAGGAAGCUUAUUCAGAUCCCCUCUGUGGGAUUGGUUAACCUCUAAUUACCUAAGUAUGAUGUCAUUGUUUCCUUCUAUGCCAUACUUAGGCAUUUCCAGGAAGCUGAAGUCUUUACCUACUUGGCCUAGUGUUAAAUUGUUGACAGGUCAUUGUAAAAUCCCUAAGGCAGCAGCCAAAUAUCAAAUUGGUUAAUUAACAACAAAGUAUGUCAAAUAUUGUUACAAUCUAUAGCAGGUUGUCAGAAUGGCAAAUUCUUCUCUUCCUUAGCAUACAUAUUCAGAUUCCACUUUUGUCUUCAUGUCCUUUAAAAAUAAAUAUUUACAAGCCACUAAAUAUAUUUAAAAUGUUCUAUCUUUGUUGAACCCUUGGAAACUGUUGCUGUUAAGCUUUUCUCAUAAGUGUUUACCAAAAGAAGCAAGAAAAGAAUGUUCUCUCUUCUAAUAGUCAUGACUACACUCACUGGAAUUUCUUGAAUGUGGCUUCACUUACCUGGUUCCCUCCCCAGCCGUGAAUAUGGUUCCCUGGAGACAAGGUAAAGGCUGACCAGAAACACAUUCCUAUCUGUGAUCCGUGGCAGUGUUAUUUUUUGGUGCCUGUUCAGUUCGAUUCAACUAAUAUUUAUGAUCUAGACUCUGUGCUAGGUGAUAGUAACAUAGAGAUGAUUCAUGUAUACCUUCUGUGUUCUGUGAGUUCAACAUCUAAACAAUGAAAUGCCAUUUGUGUGAUAGGGGUAUAAUAGAGGCAGAGAACAGUGGAGAGAGUGGCUGGCUCCAUCAGUGGUGGGUGCGAGGUCAGUGAAGAUUUCACCCAGGCAGUAUGAUAAAAUGACAGAAUUUGAACUCCAUCAAUUGGAAAUGUAAAAGUUAAGGUGCAUUUUAACCAGUAUUAAAAGGCUCGGAAUGGGAUGGAUAGAGAAACCUUAAACUAGAGAAUUUUAAUAGGCAGCUAAUUCUUAUUAGCAGCUAAUGCCACAAUCAUGAGGAAUUGGGAGAGGAAA